RNAcentral lists this ribosomal RNA (292 nucleotides) under uncultured bacterium. RNAcentral describes it as "partial 16S ribosomal RNA". It matches the Rfam family "Bacterial small subunit ribosomal RNA", at positions 505 to 796 of the family's 1533-position model. The record is from RNAcentral.
GUGCCAGCAGCCGCGGUAAUACGUAGGGUGCGAGCGUUAAUCGGAAUUACUGGGCGUAAAGCGUGCGCAGGCGGUUUUGUAAGCCAGAUGUGAAAGCCCCGGGCUCAACCUGGGAAUGGCAUUUGGGACUGCAAGGCUGGAGUUUGGCAGAGGAGACUGGAAUUCCUGGUGUAGCAGUGAAAUGCGUAGAUAUCAGGAGGAAUACCGAUGGCGAAGGCAGGUCUCUGGGCUAUAACUGACGCUCAUGCACGAAAGCGUGGGGAGCAAACAGGAUUAGAUACCCUGGUAGUCC